This 65-nucleotide transfer RNA is filed under the name Dipodomys ordii (Ord's kangaroo rat). It matches the Rfam family "tRNA". From Rfam's summary of the family: Transfer RNA (tRNA) molecules are approximately 80 nucleotides in length. The record is from Rfam by way of RNAcentral. Lineage: Eukaryota; Metazoa; Chordata; Mammalia; Rodentia; Heteromyidae.
GGUGGCUCAAUGGUAGAGCGCUUGCCUUCCAUGCAUGAGGUCCUGGGUUUGAUUCCUCAGUACCA